This 74-nucleotide transfer RNA is filed under the name Candidatus Omnitrophota bacterium. RNAcentral describes it as "tRNA-Arg". It matches the Rfam family "tRNA". Rfam says of the family: Transfer RNA (tRNA) molecules are approximately 80 nucleotides in length. Their secondary structure includes four short double-helical elements and three loops (D, anti-codon, and T loops). Further hydrogen bonds mediate the characteristic L-shaped molecular structure. tRNAs have two regions of fundamental functional importance: the anti-codon, which is responsible for specific mRNA codon recognition, and the 3' end, to which the tRNAs corresponding amino acid is attached (by aminoacyl-tRNA synthetases). tRNAs cope with the degeneracy of the genetic code in two manners: having more than one tRNA (with a specific anti-codon) for a particular amino acid; and 'wobble' base-pairing, i.e. permitting non-standard base-pairing at the 3rd anti-codon position. Lineage: Bacteria; Pseudomonadati; Candidatus Omnitrophota. The record is from RNAcentral.
GCGCCUGUAGCUCACACGGAUAGAGCAAGAGUUUCCUAAACUCUGGGUAGCAGGUUCGACUCCUGCCAGGCGCA